UUCCGGUUGAUCCUGCCAGAGGUUACUGCUAUCGGGGUCCGACUAAGCCAUGCGAGUCGAGAGGGUAAAGCCCUCGGCGUAAUGCUCAGUAACACGCGGAUAACCUGCCCUUGGGUCCGGGAUAACCCCGGGAAACUGGGACUAAUACCGGAUAGAUCAAAGACACUGGAAUGUUCUCUGGUCCAAAACUCCGGUGCCCAAGGAUGGGUCUGCGGCCUAUCAGGUUGUAGUGGGUGUAACGUACCUACUAGCCGACGACGGGUAAGGGUUGUGAGAGCAAGAUCCCUGAGAUGGAUUCUGAGACAUGAAUCCAGGCCCUACGGGGUGCAGCAGGCGCGAAACCUUUACACUGCGGGAAACCGCGAUAAGGGGACCCCGAGUGCCAGCACCUAGUGCUGGCUGUCCAGCUGUCCAAAUAACAGUUGUUAGCAAGGGCCGGGCAAGACCGGUGCCAGCCGCCGCGGUAACACCGGCGGCCCGAGUGGUAGCCGCUAUUAUUGGGUUUAAAGGGCCCGUAGCCGGCCUAUUAAGUCUCUUGGGAAAUCUGGCGGCUUAAUCGUCAGGCGUCCAAGAGAUACUGGUAGGCUUGGGACCGGGAGAGGUGGGAGGUACUCCAGGGGUAGGGGUGAAAUCUCGUAAUCCUUGGGGGACCACCGAUGGCGAAGGCAUCCCACCAGAACGGGUCCGACGGUGAGGGACGAAAGCUGGGGGCACGAACCGGAUUAGAUACCCGGGUAGUCCCAGCUGUAAACGAUGCUCGCUAGGUGUCAGGUGCGGUGCGACCGCAUCUGGUGCCGCAGUGAAAACUUGAAGCGAGUCACCUGGGAAGUACGGUCGCAAGGCUGAAACUUAAAGGAAUUGGCGGGGGAGCACUACAACGGGUGGAGCCUGCGGUUCAAUUGGAUUCAACGCCGGG
RNAcentral lists this ribosomal RNA (916 nucleotides) under uncultured archaeon. RNAcentral's name for it is "bacterial SSU rRNA". It matches the Rfam family "Archaeal small subunit ribosomal RNA", at positions 1 to 922 of the family's 1478-position model. The record is from RNAcentral.